RNAcentral lists this unclassified non-coding RNA (240 nucleotides) under soil metagenome. RNAcentral's name for it is "partial contains 5.8S ribosomal RNA, internal transcribed spacer 2, and large subunit ribosomal RNA". The record is from RNAcentral.
AACUGAUACUACCUGCGGGAACCUGCGGAAGGAUCAUUACCGAGUUUACAAAACUCCCAAACCCUUUGUGAACCUUACCUAUCGUUGCUUCGGCGGGACCGCCCCGGCGCCCUCGCGGCCCGGAACCAGGCGCCCGCCGGAGGCCCCAAACCCUCAUGUCUUUAGUGGUUUCCUCCUCUGAGUGACAUAAACAAAUAAAGUAAAAACUUUCAACAACGGAUCUCUAGAUCGGAAGAGCAC